AUGAACGCUAGCGGCAGGCUUAACACAUGCAAGUCGAGGGGCAGCACGGGUAGCAAUACUUGGUGGCGACCGGCGCAAGGGUGCGUAACGCGUGAGCAACAUGCCCGUAUCAGGGGGAUAAUCCAGGGAAACUUGGUCUAAUACCCCAUAGCAAUUGGAGGAGGCAUCUUUUUCAAUUUAAAGCUUUGGUGGAUACGGAUUGGCUCGCGUGACAUUAGCUAGAUGGUAAGGUAACGGCUUACCAUGGCUACGAUGUCUAGGGGUUCUGAGAGGAAGGUCCCCCACAUUGGAACUGAGACACGGUCCAAACUCCUACGGGAGGCAGCAGUGAGGAAUAUUGGUCAAUGGGCGAGAGCCUGAACCAGCCAAGUCGCGUGAAGGAAGAAGGUUCUAUGGAUUGUAAACUUCUUUUGCAGGGGAAUAAAGUUCGCUACGAGUAGCGAUUUGUAAGUACCUUGCGAAUAAGGAUCGGCUAACUCCGU
This 482-nucleotide ribosomal RNA is filed under the name uncultured bacterium. Its description in RNAcentral is "bacterial SSU rRNA". It matches the Rfam family "Bacterial small subunit ribosomal RNA", at positions 29 to 506 of the family's 1533-position model. The record is from RNAcentral.